Macaca mulatta (Rhesus monkey) is the source of this 977-nucleotide non-coding RNA. Lineage: Eukaryota; Metazoa; Chordata; Mammalia; Primates; Cercopithecidae. The record is from RefSeq and is a predicted model, not a curated record.
UUUUCAAAGCCCAGCACUGGCUACUAUGUAUUUGACCCACUGUUUCAGCCCACAAUUUCAGAUGUUGUGCAAACUCUAAUAGAAUAUAACACCACCAAAAGAAUAGUGUUCACUUGCUGAACCUUGCCUCUUGCUGAUAGCAAAAAAAAAUUUAGGCUGAGACUUCAGCUUCAAAAGACAAAACAUGUGGGUUGCUUCUUAGCAGGAGUGAAUCAUACACAUUUCAAUGGAAAAAUGGGAAGUCAGAGGUCAUAAUUGCUGUGGAAUACAUCUUAAGGAAGAAUCAAUAUCAAAAUGAUCAUUAAAGGUACCAUGGAGUUCACAGGGGCCAGAGCAAUAACACUUCAGGAUGCUGAAAAAGAGGCAACAAUUUUUUUCUCUGUAGUCCCUAGAGUUGAACAGACACAUUUCAAACCUCAUCCAAGUUUAGGACUUUUUGAAAACGUUGGCAUUGCAAGUAAGAGAAUGUGCUUGGAUAAAAAUGUUGCCAUUAAGAAUGGGAGAAGGUGCUUGGAAUCUUAGUCUUGUGCAUUGAAGAAGGAUAAGAAAGAGGAAGAAGUAGAACCAUAAGCUUUCCCACGGACACCCUUCCCUGCUGCUUCCGUCAAAAUCUUGGAGUGUGGGAGUCAGGAGUCACUUCUUGGCAGCUUCUCCCUGGGCUGCCAAAUCUGCCUCUUUCUGAUCAGCCGGAAAUGUGGCUUGCUCCUUCUGGAAAGCUGCCAGUAUUAAUGAAAUCGUGUUUGACUUUUAUGGCUUUGUUCCUUUACUUGAGACUCAAGACAAAUUUGAGGUAGUGAUCUCCUCUCUUUUUUCCCCUACACAUUUCCCAUGCUACACCCAUGCCUGUAUAAUCCAGUUUAGUUUGAAGAGAGAGCAUAUACCUUUAUAACAAAAUAGCAUAUGCAUUGUUUUUCCAACAAAAAGGAAAAUAAAGGACACAGGCAAAUGAUGUAUACAUGUUUAUUUUCUUGUUAAAU